RNAcentral lists this ribosomal RNA (253 nucleotides) under uncultured bacterium. Its description in RNAcentral is "partial 16S ribosomal RNA". It matches the Rfam family "Bacterial small subunit ribosomal RNA", at positions 524 to 776 of the family's 1533-position model. The record is from RNAcentral.
UACGUAGGGUGCGAGCGUUGUCCGGAAUUAUUGGGCGUAAAGAGCUCGUAGGCGGUCUGUCGCGUCGGCUGUGAAACCCCGAGGCUCAACCUCGGGCCUGCAGUCGAUACGGGCAGACUAGAGUGUGGUAGGGGAGACUGGAAUUCCUGGUGUAGCGGUGAAAUGCGCAGAUAUCAGGAGGAACACCGAUGGCGAAGGCAAUCCCCUGGGCCUGCACUGACGCUCAUGCACGAAAGCGUGGGGAGCAAACAGG